This 1170-nucleotide ribosomal RNA is filed under the name Triticum aestivum (bread wheat). Its description in RNAcentral is "partial small subunit ribosomal RNA". The record is from RNAcentral. Lineage: Eukaryota; Viridiplantae; Streptophyta; Magnoliopsida; Poales; Poaceae.
AUGGAUGACUGGCCUGAUAGCAUUGGUGACAUGACUAGUCUCACCCAGUUUGUGGUCGACAGUGGACCUUCUAAUUUGCUUGAAAAGGUUAAAGCCAUCAAAAAGCGUCUAAAUCUUGUGGGCAUGGUACAUCAUAAUGUACAUGAGAUAGAGAGUAGAGGAUGUAGCAGUAUAGUGGAUCUUGUGGGAUUGACUUGUUCAGAGCUGAUACUUGCAUGCCUUGAGAAAGUCCGGGAUCCGGAAGAUGCAGACAGGGUCAAACUGCGUGAUAAAUCAGAUAUCCGAGUACUAAAACUUGGCUGGAUCCCUAAGUGGAUGUCUUAUAUAUCAAGUGGUAAAUCUGUGCUGGAAAGGCUCGUACCUCCUCAGACUCUUGAAAACUUUUGGCUGGUUGGGUAUAGGGGCAAGGAUUUCCCUAACUGGAUGUUUCACAUCUCGUCCUACCUCCCUUUUCUCAGCGAACUGACUCUUGAUGGUUUGGAAGCAUGUGAUUGUCUUCCUCCGUUUGGCGCACUCCCAAAUUUAAGAAGUUUGUGUCUGAGGAACUGUCCCAACAUUAGGAAAAUUGGUAAGGAAUUCUAUGGAGAGGGCGGACCUUGUAUGCAACUAAGAGUUGUGGACUUGGCGUCGAUGGAGAAUUUGGUGGAAUGGUUGACAACAGAGUCAAGUGAAGAAAACAAAGAGUUUCUAAUCCCUAAUUUGCAUCUUUUGGUUGUAAAGGACUGCCCAAAUUUGAAGUUCCUACCAUAUCCCCCAAGAAGUAUGAAUUGGUUUUUGAGCAACAGUGAGACAGUUUUGCCAGAACAAGGAUUUGGGAAGCUCUCGUCUUCCAUUCAGCCUUCUAGGCUGGCUCUAGAAGAACUUUUCAUUGCAGAUUGCCCCAAUCUGACAUGUUUGCCUGAAAGUAUGAAGAACCUCACAGCUCUUACAAAAUCGGCGUUGGUGGACUGCAAAGGCCUAGAGAUAUUACCGGAAUGGUUGGGACAGUUGACUUGCCUAGAAGAACUUUCCAUCGGAGGUUGCCCCAACCUGACAUCUUUGCCUGAAGGCAUACGGAGUCUCUCUGCUUUGAAAGUUCUCAUAAUUGUUAGAUGUCCAAUAUUGAUUGAGAGGUGCCAAGGGGAGGAUGCCCACAAGAUUGGUCACAUCCCCAAAGUUGUACUGCGCUGA